Molecule: long non-coding RNA, 1264 nt
Filed under: Homo sapiens (human)
Lineage: Eukaryota; Metazoa; Chordata; Mammalia; Primates; Hominidae
Description: HSALNT0101753
Source: RNAcentral
GGGAGAGGGAGGGGGCCGGCCGCAGGGUGACGGGUGGCAGCCUGGGGCUGUGCAGAUGUGGGUGGCUGAGAAGGGCACUAGGGUGGGGGUGGCUGGAGGAAUUUUAAGUGCUGUGAUGAAAUGGGCACCCUUCUCUGCCCUCCAUCGCCAAGCCCUACACCUCUGCGAAGACUGUGACACAUAAAGUCCUGUGUCAACGAUCUGUGCCCGCAGAGAGAGCCUGCUCCAGCCUCUUUGCUACAGCCUUGAGUCUUCUGCUGAAGCUGUGGAGACUACCAAAUGGACUCGUCUAGAUUUCACAUGCAACGUGGCUCUGCCUUCCCUGAGCACUCUGGGCCUUUCCAUGGAGACAGAAUGAAUAGAUAAUGGUCCAGGACUACCCACUUCCCUUGGAAUGGUGUUGCCAUCACUGUUCUGGCACCGGAGAAAGGAUUCUACAUCGUUAGGAGAAAAGAAAAAGGAGAAUUUGGGCUUGCACUGAGAGGAUUACCUUUGGUGGUCUGGAAGUGGUGGGGUUGCAGCAUUGAAGGCACCAUCUUGGAAGCAGAGACUAGACCCUCACCAAGCAAUUAACAUGCUGGUGCAUUGAUCUUGGACUUUCCAGCCUCCAGAACUACUUUUAAGGCAGAAUCUCAAUUCAUCUCUUCUAUGAAACUUUCAUGAUUCAAAGGGAAGUCCCUGCAUGGACACUGCCAGCUUCAUUGCACUUCUGCCUCUAUGCUUUUUCCUGAACCUUCUCCACCUCUGGAACGUACUUCAGGCUGCACAGGGAGCAUGGCUGGGAGGCCUCAGGAAACUGACAAUCAUCAGUAGAAGAUGAAGAGGAAGGAGGCGCAUCUUACAUGGCCAGAGAAGGAGGAAGAAUAAGAAGGGAUUCUCCAGCUGGAGCCCUAUAAAUUGGACUGACAAAAGACAGAUUAGCAAGAGAAAUGCAAGCAGCAGUUUAUUAACAUGUGCAUCAUGAUUACACAUGGAAGUACCCAGAGGUCAUAAGACCUCAUGUGACAAGUGCCCUCCUUACUCCCAGAGAAAAGGAAGGAAGACACAGAAACACCACGAAGAAUAUGGACAAACAGACCUUGCUAAGUUCCCCCCCAUUUAUUACCAUGACAUCAUACUCCCUUUGUCCAAUCACACUUUCAUCAAACCUGAGCAUGAAAAUACACAGGUUUCUCUGUUUGGGGGGUGGGUCUUCAUUUUUGAAGUUUCCAUGUCAUGUAAAACUUAUAUUAAAGAAAUGUGUAUGUUUUACCCUUGUUAAUUU